Molecule: ribosomal RNA, 449 nt
Filed under: uncultured bacterium
Lineage: Bacteria
Description: partial 16S ribosomal RNA
Rfam family: Bacterial small subunit ribosomal RNA
Source: RNAcentral
AACGAACGCUGGUGGCAUGCCUAACACAUGCAAGUCGAACGAAGGCUUCGGCCUUAGUGGCGCACGGGUGAGUAACGCGUGGGAAACUGCCUAUUGGUGGGGAAUAACGACGGGAAACUGUCGCUAAUACCGCAUAAGACCUUCGGGGGAAAGAUUUAUCGCCGUGAGAUGUGCCGGCGUCCGAUUAGCUAGUCGGUGAGGUAUUCGCUCACCAAGGCGACGGUCGGGAGCUGGUCUGAGGGGGUGAUCAGCCACAAUGGGACCGAGACCGGGCCGACACUCCUCCGUAUGGCAGCAGCGGGGAAUGUUGGUUACGAGGCGAACGGUGGAUCCGGCAAUGCCGCGUAAGUGAUGAAUGCCUUAGGGUUGUAAAGCGCUGUCGGGUGGGACGAUGAUGACGGUACCACCAUAAGAAGCCCCGGGUAACUUCGUGCCAGCGGCCGCCGUAA